UUUCCGUAGGUGAACCUGCGGAAGGAUCAUUACAGAGUUCAUGCCCUCACGGGUCGAUCUCCCACCCUUGAAUAUUUAUACCUUAGUUGCUUUGGCAGGCCGUGGAAACACCAUGGGCUCCGGCUUAUGCGUGCCUGCCAGAGGAAACAAACUCUGUUUUUAGUGAUGUCUGAGUACUAUAUAAUAGUUAAAACUUUCAACAACGGAUCUCUUGGUUCUG
RNAcentral lists this unclassified non-coding RNA (220 nucleotides) under plant metagenome. Its description in RNAcentral is "partial contains small subunit ribosomal RNA, internal transcribed spacer 1, and 5.8S ribosomal RNA". The record is from RNAcentral.